AGUAGAGAAAGACAACUGACCCCAGAGCCAGGAAACUUGGUUGUGGUUCCAGUUCUAGAAACCCUGUGUGGGAACUUGGGGAAGUGACUCAACUUCUAGCUCUGGUUUCUUCCUCUUCAAUGAUGUUAGCAGCAUGAUGAUUUCCAGGCUCUUCACAUUCUAACAGUCUAGAACUCUGUGAAACUUCCUGCUGUCUCAACAAGGUUCCACGCUAGGAGACUUUGGGCUUAUCAUUUAACAUUUCCAUGCUUUCAUAAAUUAGAUGAAUAACCUCCGGCCUGCCUGGUUUGUAAGAUGGUUGUGAAGAUUAAAGGUGGAAAUAUAUAGGAAAACACUUUGUAAAUCAUGAAAGCUUAAUAAGUAUCAACACUAUUUUUUACCUGAGUCAGUAGUCAUUGGAAAUUCCAAUAUUUGGCAGUUGUGAAUAACUGCCAAUUUAACAGUUGUUCAAUAUUAACAGCUUUUCAAAAGCUGAGGUCUUCAAGCUACAGGUAGAAGGAGAUAAAAGAAGCUUUCCUAAUUCAUUAGAACAUCAGUUCUCCCCAGCCAUAAUGUUCAUCAUGGAAGUACUUUUCCCCUUUGGAGAUCACUGGAAACAGCUUCUGGACCACAAAUGGGGUGAACUACUGUAUCGAGAAAGGAGAGAGUAAGACUUGAGAGAUAUCUUUUUAGCUCAGGGUGCAGGACUGGACUAAGAACUCAGUUAAGUGAAGCAAGCAAGAAUUUCCCAAGUGAUGCCAACUCAAAAUGAAUUAUAUCAAGAAAGGAAAAGCAGCUUUUUCAUCUGGAAAGAACUGGAGACCUUGAACCUAGGCAGCAUGUGCCUUGAACCUAGGAUCAGUAAACAACAAGGAUGGAAAAGACAGUAAGAAUUUGGUCAGAUCACCAUAUCUUUCCAUUGUGCCUUUAGAACAAAAGGAAAGAAAAUAUCUCUUUGGCUCACAGAGAAAAUAUGUUGAGAAAUGAAGUACAACCCCUCACCUUGCUGGGCACAGAGCAGGUGCUCGGUAAAUAAAUAGUGUACGUGUUCGCUGAGUAACAUUUGACUUGAAUUGCCUUUAAGCACUUUGAGUGAUCCAGUGGUAUUUAUGGACCUCCCAGGCACAGCCCUGCACCAGCUUUCUCAGAGUAGUGUCUCCAUACAGGCAAGCCUUUUAAUCCCCAGUAAAACAAAAAGAUGACGAUAAAUAUUCAGUAUCUUAAAAAUUUAAGUAAAUAUGCAGUGUCCUACCUCUCACUCACAUCUGCAAAUGAUCUUAGUUUGUUCCUUGGAGAGGAACCAAAUGCUUUAGUGGAUGGUAGCACAUUCUCUCUCCCUUUGCUUGUAUAGACCUGACCUAACUUAAAAAUAAAUGUUUAGUUAAGA
This 1366-nucleotide non-coding RNA is filed under the name Pan troglodytes (chimpanzee). The record is from RNAcentral. Lineage: Eukaryota; Metazoa; Chordata; Mammalia; Primates; Hominidae.